RNAcentral lists this long non-coding RNA (624 nucleotides) under Homo sapiens (human). Its description in RNAcentral is "long intergenic non-protein coding RNA 937". The record is from RNAcentral. Lineage: Eukaryota; Metazoa; Chordata; Mammalia; Primates; Hominidae.
CAAAGCCUCUGCCUCAGUCUCCUCUUCUGGAAAGUGGGAUUGGAAACCACAUCUGCUUCUCUCCCAGGACUGCUAGGAAGACAAGAUUAGAUGGCAGGUCUGUUUUCCCCCUGGAUUGUAAACUCCCUGAUGUCUGGGUCAUCUCAGCUCAUGAGCUGAGCUUUCAGUGGGUGCUCAGUGGAACAGGUGCUGAAUGGAGUCAGGCUUUAGGGAGGCCAGCGUGUGUUGGAAGGAAAAUACCCGUACAGCCAACUUCCUUGAGGGUUCGUUCUUUUGCAUCAGGGUGUCUCAAACUCCUGCCCUUAAAACACCUGCAAGAGAAUCAUCUAGGUGGCUUGCUCGCUCUGCAUGCAGACCCUUUAGAAUCAGAGUCAGAAUACCUGGGGCUGGAGCCACAAAAUGAAAUGACAUUUCAACAAGUUUGUCAUCACGUAAGAGAGAAUAGAUAACUUCACUCUUCUCUGCAACGAAUCCCAAAAGUAUAUAAUUGAGCUGACUGCAAGGUACUUGACACGCAAGAGACUCCACAAAUGGGAUUCAGCCUCUGGAAAGUGGUGGUAGUUCCAGAUUUAUGUGGAUGUUACUUUGUUUUUCCCUAUAAAAUAUAUUAUUUAAACUAUCAAA